This 150-nucleotide small nuclear RNA is filed under the name Cervus hanglu yarkandensis (Yarkand deer). Its description in RNAcentral is "U1 spliceosomal RNA (ENSCHYG00000020512.1)". It matches the Rfam family "U1 spliceosomal RNA". Rfam says of the family: U1 is a small nuclear RNA (snRNA) component of the spliceosome (involved in pre-mRNA splicing). Its 5' end forms complementary base pairs with the 5' splice junction, thus defining the 5' donor site of an intron. There are significant differences in sequence and secondary structure between metazoan and yeast U1 snRNAs, the latter being much longer (568 nucleotides as compared to 164 nucleotides in human). The record is from RNAcentral. Lineage: Eukaryota; Metazoa; Chordata; Mammalia; Artiodactyla; Cervidae.
AAACUUACCUGGCUGGCGCUCGGGGCGGCUCAAGAAUCGCCCUGUCGUGAUUCGGAGCAGGGCACUGCACUCAGCCGACUGUAAUGAAUCAUAGGCUUUUUUAUAAAAGUACUAACAGCAUAAUUUUUUUAUAAGGCGAUUCGUCGCCAA